Non-coding RNA from Mycena epipterygia, 93 nucleotides. NCBI's taxonomy places the organism in Eukaryota, Fungi, Basidiomycota, Agaricomycetes, Agaricales, Mycenaceae. The record is from the annotation of a GenBank genome assembly.
GGCGCGAUGGCCGAGUGGUUAAGGCGACAGAUUCGAAUUUCUUUAUCUAUCUGUUCCGGUUUCCGGGCGCAGGUUCAAAUCCUGCUCGCGUCG